Molecule: ribosomal RNA, 497 nt
Filed under: uncultured bacterium
Lineage: Bacteria
Description: partial 16S ribosomal RNA
Rfam family: Bacterial small subunit ribosomal RNA
Source: RNAcentral
GAUGAACGCUGGCGGCGUGCCUAAUACAUGCAAGUCGAGCGAACAGACGAGGAGCUUUCUCCUCUGACUUUAGCGGCGGACGGGUCAGUAACAUGUGUAUAACCUACCUAUAAGACUGGGAUACCUUCGGGAAACCGGAUCUAAUACCGGAUAAUUUAUUGAACCUCAUUGUUCAAUAGUUAAAUUCGGUUUUUCUUUCACUUAUAGCUUGAUCCGCCCCGCAUUAGCUGGUUGGUUAGGUAACGGCUUACCAAGGCUAGGAUGGCUACACGACCUGAGAGGGAGAUCGGCGACCUGGGAAGUGAGACACGGUCCAGACUCCUACGGGAGGCAGCAGCAGGGAAUCUUACGCAAUGGGGGAAAGCUUGACGGAGCAAAGCGGCGUGAGUGAUGAAGGUCUUCGGAUCGUAAAACUCUGUUAUUAGGGAAGAACAAAUGUGUAAGUAACUAUGCAGGUAUUGACGGUACCGAAUCAGAAAGCCACGGCUAACUACGUG